This is a non-coding RNA of Candidatus Daviesbacteria bacterium, 71 nucleotides long. NCBI's taxonomy places the organism in Bacteria, Candidatus Daviesiibacteriota. The record is from Rfam.
AGGGGCGUCGUUCAAUGGUAGGACCUGGCUCUCCAAAAGCCAUGACGAGGGUUCAAUUCCUUCCGCCCCUG